UACGGAGGGGGUUAGCGUUGUUCGGAAUGACUGGGCGUAAAGCGCGCGUAGGCGGAUCAGGAAGUUGGGGGUGAAAUCCCGGGGCUCAACCCCGGAAUGGCCUUCAAAAACUCCUGGUCUUGAGUUCGAGAGAGGUGAGUGGAAUUCCGAGUGUAGAGGUGAAAUUCGUAGAUAUUCGGAGGAACACCAGUGGCGAAGGCGGCUCACUGGCUCGACACUGACGCUGAGGUGCGAAAGCGUGGGGAGCAAACAGG
RNAcentral lists this ribosomal RNA (254 nucleotides) under uncultured bacterium. RNAcentral describes it as "partial 16S ribosomal RNA". It matches the Rfam family "Bacterial small subunit ribosomal RNA", at positions 524 to 776 of the family's 1533-position model. The record is from RNAcentral.